RNAcentral lists this ribosomal RNA (402 nucleotides) under bacterium. RNAcentral describes it as "partial 16S ribosomal RNA". It matches the Rfam family "Bacterial small subunit ribosomal RNA", at positions 355 to 776 of the family's 1533-position model. The record is from RNAcentral.
UGGGGAAUUUUGCACAAUGGGGGAAACCCUGAUGCAGCGACGCCGCGUGAUUUAGAAUGCCUUCGGGUUGUAAAAAUCUUUUCUAUGGGAAGAAAAUGACCGUACCAUAGGAAUAAGUACCGGCUAAUUACGUGCCAGCAGCCGCGGUAAUACGUAAGGUACGAGCGUUGUCCGGAAUCAUUGGGCGUAAAGGGUACGUAGGCGGGUAAGCAAGUUAGAAGUGAAAUCCUAUAGCUCAACUAUAGUAAGCUUUUAAAACUGCUCAUCUUGAGGUAUGGAAGGGAAAGUGGAAUUCCGAGUGUAGCGGUGAAAUGCGCAGAUAUUAGGAGGAAUGCCGGUGGCGAAGGCGACUUUCUGGCCAUAACCUGACGCUGAGGUACGAAAGCGUGGGUAGCAAACAGG